CUGCCCUCCCUCCGUCCCAUCUCCAGUCCGAGAGGAGCAGCAGCUUGGGGGGGGGGAGAUGGGUGUGACGCGGGCAGCAGGGUGACCCAACUUUCGGAGACCCGUCUCCUUUUAAGGCUUCCUUUCACACAACACUUGAUCCCAGCAUCCUCGCGACAUCGAACGAUAGUGUUUCCCGCGGGUGUGUGUGUGUGUGGCCGUCGUAGCCCCCCCCAAAAAACCCAACCCCCCAAAACAAAUAAAUGGUGGCACGUGAAAGGCCCCCAACUCUUUAUUCAUAGCGUAAGCAUUCGCAGACCGCGGGCCACGUUCUCAGACGCCAGCCGGGGUGAAAGAGCUCCCUUCCGAGGCGUGGAAAGGGUCGCCCUCCCGCGUUCUCUCUCCCCCUUCGAGAAGCGCUGCGGGGUGAAGGGGACUCCAGCGGGCGCCGAGGGGGAAGGGGCCGCCGGCGACCAUGGCGGCGCAGGUGCGUUGUCAGCAGGCAGGCAGGCAGGCAGGCACAGGCAGAGAUCUCUUUGGCCGCCUCCCUGGGGUGAAGCUGGGGCUGAGGAGAUUGCUCGCAGACCUUGGCCGCUCGCCUCUUUCUGGCGGCAGGAAAAAGCAGCGGGCGCUCUCAGUCGCCGCCGCGCUAAGGCCGCCGCCUCCCUUUUCCUCCCCAGAAAACACACACACACAAGCCGCACAGCACCCUCUCGCUUAGUUACAACCGGUUUGUACCGGCCGCCGGUUCUGGCUGGCUGGCUGGCUGGCUGCACCCGGCAGUGCCCUGGCUGCAGAGCCAGAGGUUGGGAGCUCAAUUCUUGCACUGGGCUUCCCAGGAGAAGAGCCAGCCUGGGUGGCGUUGGGCCAGCUGCACCGUCCCAGCACACGUCCAGAAGAUGGGAAUGGGUGACCACGUCUGAGUACUCUCUACCUAGAAAACCCUGGAAAGGCUCCCCCAGAAUUGAUUUGAUGGCACAGACGAUGAACAAUCUGCUAGAUGCAAAACAGGAAGCGAAGAGCAUCAAACCCUCUUCUAUGACAUGA
RNAcentral lists this long non-coding RNA (1026 nucleotides) under Pogona vitticeps (central bearded dragon). RNAcentral describes it as "lncRNA (ENSPVIG00000004540.1)". Lineage: Eukaryota; Metazoa; Chordata; Lepidosauria; Squamata; Agamidae. The record is from RNAcentral.